UAGUGAAGCAAACUGAAUUCAACCUAAGCAACUCAUAACCAGUACCCGAAGCUGGGCUGUAAUGAAUGAGAACGAGCGCGCUUCAAGGGUGAGAGAGGAAAAGGGACCAGGAAGUGCUCACCAGGCGCAGCGUGGGUACAGGAAUUCCUGAAGCUUGGAUUUCGCUGGCACCGUUACCACUCCCAGAGAGGAGCGGCUGGAGUUCACGGCUGGUUCCUGACAAACUUCCUAAUUAAUCUGCUGAAGAUCAGAGGAGGACUAAUCGGGGCUGAAGACUGUGUUGGGCCCAUCCCCCCGCCCUUUCCGUGUGUGUGUCUGUGUGUGUGUCUGUGUGUGUGUGUACCGCGGGCCUGUGCACACACUUACAGUGCUGAGCUUGGCAGGAGAGAGUCUCAGCCAGCGAUUCAGCACAAUAGCAUUCCUGCUGCUGCCACCUACCUUCCCUGCUUUGGGAGGAGGAAUUUUCUUCUCUUGCUUAGAAGUUUCCAGGAGUCCCCACUCCUUCUGCUGG
This is a long non-coding RNA of Panthera uncia (snow leopard), 511 nucleotides long. RefSeq lists it as uncharacterized. The record is from RefSeq and is a predicted model, not a curated record. The transcript has 3 exons. Lineage: Eukaryota; Metazoa; Chordata; Mammalia; Carnivora; Felidae.